Molecule: ribosomal RNA, 2148 nt
Filed under: Triticum aestivum (bread wheat)
Lineage: Eukaryota; Viridiplantae; Streptophyta; Magnoliopsida; Poales; Poaceae
Description: partial small subunit ribosomal RNA
Source: RNAcentral
AUGGCCGACGCCCCGCCGCCCGCGCCCGUGACCGCGCCGCGCCGACGCCCCCGCAGAGAGCCGUCGGAGCCCCGGAGCGAGAGCGACUGGGAGGAGGGAUCCAGCAGCAGGGAGGGCUCCCCGGGCGCCGACAGCGCCGACGGAGACGCCGUGCGCCGCGCCGCGCGCCGCUGGAGCGACGACCGGGCCGCGCGGAUCUCGGGCACCGCCGCCGACGCCGGCUGGUGGCUCGGCGAGAUCGAGCGCGACCGCGUGCGCCUCGUCCGGGACUGGGUCCAGGUCCAGAUGGAGGCCGCGCGCGACCGCGACCGCGACCAGGGCGGCGCCGACGGCGGCGACCCGCCGCACCCGCCCCCGUCGCCCGCCGCCGGCCCCCGGAUCCGCGGCCGCCAGGCCAGGCUCGAGCUCGUCAUGCGCCUCGCCGCCGACCGCCACGCCGAGCUCCAGCGCCUCUCCCUCCGCCGCGCCGUCUCCGCCUUCCCCCACCGCAACCGAAUCCACGCGCUGCUCCGGGGAAGGUUUCUGCGGAACGGCGGCCUGCCGGAGGAGGAGAGGAGGCAGCCGUCGGUGGCCGCCAGGGAGCUCGGGCAGCUCCGGCAGCGCCACCCCGUCUCCGGCCUCAGAUUGGAGAAUCUUGUACGAGGUCAAGCAGCUAGCCGGUCGGAUUCAUCUUCAGCUCAGACUGUCGAGCUCUCAACCAUUGACCAUUCUGAAUCAAGCCGUGCUGCUUCUGAAGAUACUCAGGACAUGCAUCGACAGGCAAACGAUAAUGUUGAUCUUCAGCGAAUUGGAGAGACAGCAACAGGGUCAGAUUAUGGAAGCAAUGCUCCUAGUAUUGCUGAAGGAUUGUCCGAGCCUCAUAGUCAGGAGGAGGGUUGGCAGGAAGAUUUGGAGGUGGUGGAUAGAAGAAGAGACUGGGAUCAGUUUUCCCAUGCUAUUACUACGACUGGAGAGGGAUCUGGCAGAAACUGGAUUGAAAGUGCGGACAGCAGUUCAUCAUCGUCUGAUGAGAGGACAACAGAGGCUGGAGAUCGUCAAGGUGCCUCGUAUCUUCUGGAAACAAGUGAUGAGUCAACAAUUAGUGAUAAUAAUCUUCCUGAAGCACAUGAAGAGCAGCUUGACAGUAACCAUCUCCCCGAAGCGCUUGAAGGCAACAAUCAUCUCCAAGAAGCGCGUGGAGAGUGGAACAGGGAGGGUAAUGAUCCCGCACAAGUGCGUGAUGAGUGGCCCAGUGACGAUCAUUUUCCAGAAAUGAAUGAAGUGUGGCACGACGACGAUGAGUCCAAUGGGAGUGCGCAUAACUGGCAUGACGAUCAUUCAGAGCAACCCGUUGACCAGGAGUCUACGCUCAUCAGAAGAGUUAAUACAUUUACCCCUGGCGAUGACGAUAAUGUCUACAGCACAGAACUAAGGGAGCUUCUAAGCAGAAGGAGCGUUUCUAAUCUUCUUGAUAGCGCUUUCCGUGAAAACCUAGACCGCCUUAUCCGGUCAUACGUUGAACGGCAAGGUCGUGGUCCUCUCUCUUUGAAUCUGCAAGGAACACCUGCGGUAGCAGCAGCAACCCCUGACCAGCAGGAGCAAGAUCAAGAAGAGCAGCGGCAUGGAGAUGACGACGAGGAACAGCAACUUCUUCGUGAUGCUGCAAAUGUUAGGCCUCGCUUAGUGAUCCCACCUCCACCUAUGCCUCCUCGUCAACCACUUUGGCAUUCGGAGCUGCAUCAUAACAACUGGAUGAGACAGAACAUCAACCGCUCCGAUAUCGAAUGGGAGGCUAUUAAUGAUUUGAGGGCUGAUAUGGCUAGACUUCAGCAAGGUAUGGGUCAUAUGCAAAGGAUGUUGGAAGCUUGCAUGGAUAUGCAGCUUGAGUUACAACGUUCUGUGAGGCAGGAAGUUUCCGCGGCCUUGAAUCGCUUCAUCGGGGAGCAAGGGGAACCCAAGGAGACCAUCGACGAUGGAUCGAAAUGGAUGAAUGUGAGGAAAGGCACUUGCUGUGUAUGCUGUGAUACUCCGAUCGAUUCUCUUCUGUACAGAUGUGGGCACAUGUGCACGUGCUCGAAAUGCGCGAACGAGUUGGUUCGAAGUGGAGGGAAGUGUCCGCUGUGCCGCGCACCCAUUAUUGAGGUGAUCCGAGCUUACUUCAUCAUGUAA